AACGAACGCUGGCGGCAUGCCUAACACAUGCAAGUCGAACGAGGCCUUCGGGUCUAGUGGCGCACGGGUGCGUAACGCGUGGGAACCUGCCCCUAGGUUCGGAAUAACUCCCCGAAAGGGGUGCUAAUACCGGAUAAUGUCUUCGGACCAAAGAUUUAUCGCCUUUGGAUGGGCCCGCGUUGGAUUAGCUAGUUGGUAGGGUAAAAGCCUACCAAGGCGACGAUCCAUAGCUGGUCUGAGAGGAUGAUCAGCCACACUGGGACUGAGACACGGCCCAGACUCCUACGGGAGGCAGCAGUGGGGAAUAUUGGACAAUGGGCGAAAGCCUGAUCCAGCAAUGCCGCGUGAGUGAUGAAGGCCUUAGGGUUGUAAAGCUCUUUUACCCGGGAUGAUAAUGGCAGUACCGGGAGAAUAAGCUCCGGCUAACUCCGU
This 432-nucleotide ribosomal RNA is filed under the name uncultured bacterium. RNAcentral's name for it is "partial 16S ribosomal RNA". It matches the Rfam family "Bacterial small subunit ribosomal RNA", at positions 29 to 506 of the family's 1533-position model. The record is from RNAcentral.